RNAcentral lists this ribosomal RNA (477 nucleotides) under uncultured bacterium. RNAcentral describes it as "partial 16S ribosomal RNA". It matches the Rfam family "Bacterial small subunit ribosomal RNA", at positions 30 to 507 of the family's 1533-position model. The record is from RNAcentral.
AUUGAACGCUGGCGGCAUGCCUUACACAUGCAAGUCGAACGGUAACAGGUUAAGCUGCCGAGUGGCGAACGGGUGAGUAAUACAUCGGAACGUGCCCAGUAGUGGGGGAUAGCCCGGCGAAAGCCGGAUUAAUACCGCAUACGACCUAAGGGUGAAAGGGGGGGAUCGCAAGACCUCUCGCUAUUGGAGCGGCCGAUGUCAGAUUAGCUAGUUGGUGGGGUAAAAGCUCACCAAGGCGACGAUCUGUAGCUGGUCUGAGAGGACGACCAGCCACACUGGGACUGAGACACGGCCCAGACUCCUACGGGAGGCAGCAGUGGGGAAUUUUGGACAAUGGGCGCAAGCCUGAUCCAGCCAUGCCGCGUGCGGGAAGAAGGCCUUCGGGUUGCAAACCGCUUUUGUCAGGGAAGAAAUCCUUUGGGUUAAUACCUCGGGGGGAUGACGGUACCUGAAGAAUAAGCACCGGCUAACUACGUG